AUGGCAACGAAGGCCCCCGCCGUCGCGGCGCUCCUCCUCCUCGCCGCCGCCGCCCUCCUGCUCGCCCGCGGCGCCGAGGCCGGGGCCGGGGAGGUGCCGCUGAGCUGGGAGCUGGGCGUGGAGGACGUCGCCGACGACGGGUUCGGCUUCGCGGGCGCCGGCGGCGACGAGGCGGUGGCGCGGCGCGUGCUGCAGAGCGGCAACGGCUACAUCAGCUACGGCGCGCUGCGGAGGGACAACGUGCCCUGCUCCCUGCGCGGCACCUCCUACUACAACUGCCGCCCCGGCGGCCAGGCCAACCCCUACUCCCGCGGCUGCUCCGCCAUCACGCGCUGCCGCGGCUGA
RNAcentral lists this ribosomal RNA (345 nucleotides) under Triticum aestivum (bread wheat). RNAcentral's name for it is "partial small subunit ribosomal RNA". Lineage: Eukaryota; Viridiplantae; Streptophyta; Magnoliopsida; Poales; Poaceae. The record is from RNAcentral.